AGAAUCAACGCUGGCGGCGCGCUUAACACAUGCAAGCCGCACGGGAAAGCAGGAGCAAUCUUGUGAGUAAAGUGGCGUACGGGUGAGUAACACGUGGAUCAUCUACCUUUUAGUGGGGAAUACCCCCGGGAAACUGGGGACAAUACCGCAUAAGCUCGAGAGAGGAAAGCAGCAAUGCGCUGAAAGAGGAGUCCGCGGCUGAUUAGCUAGAUGGCGGGGUAGCGGCCCACCAUGGCGACGAUCGGUAGCCGGCCUGAGAGGGCACACGGCCACACUGGCACUGAGACACGGGCCAGACUCCUACGGGAGGCAGCAGUGGGGAAUCUUGCACAAUGGGGGAAACCCUGAUGCAGCGACGCCGCGUGAGCGAUGAAGCCCUUCGGGGUGUAAAGCUCUUUCGACGGGAACGAUAAUGACGGUACCCGGAGAAGAAGCUGCGGCUAACUACGUGCCAGCAGCCGCGGUAAUACGUAGGCAGCAAGCGUUGUUCGGAAUUACUGGGCGUAAAGAGUGUGUAGGCGGUGCUCUAAGUCUGUCGUGAAAUCUCCCGGCUUAACUGGGAGGGUGCGGCGGAAACUGGAGUGCUCGAGGGUGGGAGAGGUAAGCGGAAUUCCUGGUGUAGCGGUGAAAUGCGUAGAUAUCAGGAGGAACACCUGUGGUGUAGACAGCUUACUGGACCACUUCUGACGCUGAGACACGAAAGCGUGGGUAGCAAACAGGAUUAGAUACCCUGGUAGUCCUAGCCCUAAACGAUGAUUGCUUGGUGUGGGGUACCCAAUCCCGCCGUGCCGUAGCUAACGCGUUAAGCAAUCCGCCUGGGGGAGUACGGUCGCAAGGCUGAA
This 842-nucleotide ribosomal RNA is filed under the name uncultured bacterium. Its description in RNAcentral is "bacterial SSU rRNA". It matches the Rfam family "Bacterial small subunit ribosomal RNA", at positions 26 to 898 of the family's 1533-position model. The record is from RNAcentral.